Molecule: small nucleolar RNA, 89 nt
Organism: Acinonyx jubatus (cheetah)
Lineage: Eukaryota; Metazoa; Chordata; Mammalia; Carnivora; Felidae
Product: small nucleolar SNORD12/SNORD106
Exons: 1
Source: RefSeq, a predicted model, not a curated record
UCUGCAGUUGAUGACAUAAGUUUCCCCUCAGUCAUAUUAACUUUGUUGAUCUAACUGAACCAUUAACCAGUGUUUUCUGAUGCAUUGGA